Molecule: long non-coding RNA, 628 nt
Organism: Tarenaya hassleriana
Lineage: Eukaryota; Viridiplantae; Streptophyta; Magnoliopsida; Brassicales; Cleomaceae
Exons: 2
Source: RefSeq, a predicted model, not a curated record
GCCACGACGAAAACCUCCUGCGUGUUCCUGAGAAACCCCAUGAUCUUGUUGCAGAGCCACCUUCAGAAACAAGAUCAACAGUUUUUGAGAGGGGCGGCAUUGUUCGGAGGAGGCAUCGUCGUGGUCGUAGGAAUAUCUCAGAUCGGAGUAGCCUCUGUUCGUAGAGAGAAAUCUCUCUUUCAUGCUCUGUUUGAACGAACCGUCGAACAUGCUUCGCCUGAACGAUCCCAGCUUCGGCGCCGCCAUUUCCGAUGAUCGAAUCGAACCGGAGACAAGAGAGAUAUGUGGGAUUCGUCUUUUGCUGUCGCGGAGGAGUGAGAAAUGGGGAACAACGAGGAGAGAGAUUUACUACCGCGACAUUGUCUGCAUGGUUCAAGAACGAAAUUGCGUGUCGAAACGUGGACGGAGACAAGACAGGAAGAGGGAUGGAUCCUGUGAGUGCAUGGGAACCCAAUUCCCCAAAAAUUUAACGUUUUUAUUUCAGAUUUCGUUAGAUUUGGAGUUUAAUUAGUCUCAUCAAAUCCAUUUGCACAAAGCAUGUGUGUUUUUGCUGUGCACGUCUUGGACCACGUUUUUACACAGACAAUAUUCAUUAAAUUAAAUUAAAUUAAUUGAGUGGUUGAUUGUA